CAGUAGCCGCGGUAACACAGAGGGUGCAAGCGUUAAUCGGAAUUACUGGGCGUAAAGCGCGCGUAGGUGGUUUGUUAAGUUGGAUGUGAAAUCCCCGGGCUCAACCUGGGAACUGCAUCCAAAACUGGCAAGCUAGAGUAUGGUAGAGGGUGGUGGAAUUUCCUGUGUAGCGGUGAAAUGCGUAGAUAUAGGAAGGAACACCAGUGGCGAAGGCGACCACCUGGACUGAUACUGACACUGAGGUGCGAAAGCUAGGGGAGCAAAUGGGAUUAGAUACCCCUGUAGUCCCUGUCUCUUAUAC
Molecule: ribosomal RNA, 301 nt
Filed under: uncultured bacterium
Lineage: Bacteria
Description: partial 16S ribosomal RNA
Rfam family: Bacterial small subunit ribosomal RNA
Source: RNAcentral